UACAGAGGGUGCGAGCGUUGUUCGGAAUUAUUGGGCGUAAAGCGCUUGUAGGCGGCUUGUUAAGUUCCGUGUGAAAUCCCCAGGCUUAACCUGGGAAGUGCGCGGAAAACUGGCGAGCUUGAGUGCCGGAGAGGGUCGCGGAAUUCCCGGUGUAGAGGUGAAAUUCGUAGAUAUCGGGAGGAACACUUGUGGCGAAAGCGGCUCACUGGACCACAACUGACGCUGAGGCGCGAAAGCUAGGGGAGCAAACAGG
This 253-nucleotide ribosomal RNA is filed under the name uncultured bacterium. RNAcentral's name for it is "partial 16S ribosomal RNA". It matches the Rfam family "Bacterial small subunit ribosomal RNA", at positions 524 to 776 of the family's 1533-position model. The record is from RNAcentral.